AUGCGCCACCGUCCGCCGGACCGCCUCGACCUGUGCCUCUCCGCGCGCCGCUGGACCACCGGGCCCACGCGCCGCCGGCUUGCCUUGACCUGUGCCUCUCCACGCGCCGCCGUAUCGCCGCGUCCACGCUCCAGCCGCCUGGCCGCGUCGUCCACGCACCACUCCUCACGGCUGCCAUAUGCCCGACGAGAGACCGCCGGCGCAUGCUCAUCCCAACUGCCACAGCCCACCUCCUCCGCGACAUCUACCCUCGCCCAUCCCGAAACCCUAGCUGCCGCCAGCGGCUCAUUCUCCUCCGUCGCCUUCUCCACGGCUACAUCCCACCCCGCAUGCGCGGGUGCGAGCCACCGCGCGGUCGCCGCCAUGGUCGCAGCCCCGACCAAGGUCAGCACCGCCAUGCCGUCGGUCGAGUUCACCAUCGCCGUCUUCAACAAGGAUAAGAUCUCCCUCGCCAGCCACGAAUAUGAGGUCGUGGCCCAUGGCGGUGUCGGCAUGCAGAGAUCCUCAAAAUUCUAA
Molecule: ribosomal RNA, 516 nt
Filed under: Triticum aestivum (bread wheat)
Lineage: Eukaryota; Viridiplantae; Streptophyta; Magnoliopsida; Poales; Poaceae
Description: partial small subunit ribosomal RNA
Source: RNAcentral